This 429-nucleotide ribosomal RNA is filed under the name Pseudomonadota bacterium. Its description in RNAcentral is "Proteobacteria bacterium partial 16S ribosomal RNA". It matches the Rfam family "Bacterial small subunit ribosomal RNA", at positions 355 to 776 of the family's 1533-position model. The record is from RNAcentral. Lineage: Bacteria; Pseudomonadati; Pseudomonadota.
UGGGGAAUAUUGGACAAUGGGCGAAAGCCUGAUCCAGCCAUGCCGCGUGUGUGAAGAAGGUCUUCGGAUUGUAAAGCACUUUAAGUUGGGAGGAAGGGCAGUAAGCGAAUACCUUGCUGUUUUGACGUUACCGACAGAAUAAGCACCGGCUAACUCUGUGCCAGCAGCCGCGGUAAUACAGAGGGUGCAAGCGUUAAUCGGAAUUACUGGGCGUAAAGCGUGCGUAGGCGGUUCGUUAAGUUGAAUGUGAAAGCCCCGGGCUCAACCUGGGAACUGCAUCCAAAACUGGCGGGCUAGAGUAGGGCAGAGGGUGGUGGAAUUUCCUGUGUAGCGGUGAAAUGCGUAGAUAUAGGAAGGAACACCAGUGGCGAAGGCGACCACCUGGGCUCAUACUGACACUGAGGUGCGAAAGCGUGGGGAGCAAACAGG